This 500-nucleotide ribosomal RNA is filed under the name uncultured bacterium. RNAcentral describes it as "partial 16S ribosomal RNA". It matches the Rfam family "Bacterial small subunit ribosomal RNA", at positions 30 to 523 of the family's 1533-position model. The record is from RNAcentral.
AUUGAACGCUGGCGGCAUGCCUUACACAUGCAAGUCGAACGGCAGCACGGGAGCAAUCCUGGUGGCGAGUGGCGAACGGGUGAGUAAUAUAUCGGAACGUGCCCAGUCGUGGGGGAUAACGCAGCGAAAGCUGUGCUAAUACCGCAUACGAUCUACGGAUGAAAGCGGGGGAUCGCAAGACCUCGCGCGAUUGGAGCGGCCGAUAUCAUAUUAGCUAGUUGGUGGGGUAAAGGCCCACCAAGGCGACGAUCUGUAGCUGGUCUGAGAGGACGACCAGCCACACUGGAACUGAGACACGGUCCAGAGUCCUACGGGAGGCAGCAGUGGGGAAUUUUGGACAAUGGGCGCAAGCCUGAUCCAGCAAUGCCGCGUGCAGGAUGAAGGCCUUCGGGUUGUAAACUGCUUUUGUACGGAACGAAACGGCCCUUUCUAAUACAGGGGGCUAAUGACGGUACCGUAAGAAUAAGCACCGGCUAACUACGUGCCAGCCGCCGCCGUAA